Molecule: ribosomal RNA, 515 nt
Filed under: Paramphicteis weberi
Lineage: Eukaryota; Metazoa; Annelida; Polychaeta; Terebellida; Ampharetidae
Description: partial large subunit ribosomal RNA
Rfam family: Bacterial large subunit ribosomal RNA
Source: RNAcentral
UGCCUCUUGAUCCUAAAUAAGAGGUUAAUCCUGCCCAGUGACCCAAGGGUUAAACGGCCGCGGUACCCUGACCGUGCUAAGGUAGCGUGAUAAUUUGCCCUUUAAUUGUGGGCCUGUACGAACGGACAAACGAAAGUAAAGCUGUCUUCUAACAUAGAAAUAUAAAUUGCUAAUCAAGUGAAAACGCUUGAAUAUUUUUAAAGGACAAAAAGACCCCGUAGAGCUCAGGCAUUAACUGGGAUUUAAAAAAUAUUAAAUUGCCACACUUUGUCCCCUUACAUGCCUUAACUGGGGCGGUUGAGGAAAAAUAAAUCUUCCUUUAUGAAAAAAGGCUACCAAGCCGCAAACAAUUGAUCCUUAUAAAAGAUCAAAGAAAAAGCUACCUCGGGGAUAACAGAUUAAUCUUUCUUAAGAGUUCACAUUGACAGAAAGGUUUGACACCUCGAUGUUGGCUUAAGGUUCCCAUGAGAUUGCAGCAGUCUCCAACGGUAGGUUUGUUCAACCUUUAAAACCUU